Molecule: ribosomal RNA, 253 nt
Filed under: uncultured bacterium
Lineage: Bacteria
Description: partial 16S ribosomal RNA
Rfam family: Bacterial small subunit ribosomal RNA
Source: RNAcentral
UACGUAGGGUGCAAGCGUUGUCCGGAAUUAUUGGGCGUAAAGAGCUCGUAGGCGGUCUGUUGCGUCGGCUGUGAAAACCCGGGGCUCAACCCCGGGCCUGCAGCCGACACGAGCAGACUAGAGUUCGGCAGGGGAGACUGGAAUUCCUGGUGUAGCGGUGAAAUGCGCAGAUAUCAGGAGGAACACCGGUGGCGAAGGCGGGUCUCUGGGCCGAUACUGACGCUGAGGAGCGAAAGCGUGGGGAGCGAACAGG